RNAcentral lists this ribosomal RNA (645 nucleotides) under Clostridioides difficile. RNAcentral describes it as "bacterial LSU rRNA". It matches the Rfam family "Bacterial large subunit ribosomal RNA", at positions 1187 to 1849 of the family's 2925-position model. The record is from RNAcentral. Lineage: Bacteria; Bacillati; Bacillota; Clostridia; Peptostreptococcales; Peptostreptococcaceae.
CUUACUACCGAAGCUACGGCAUCAGUAAUGAUGGGUAGGGGAGCUUCCCAUACGGGUUGAAGCAUGACCGUAAGGACAUGUGGACAGUAUGGGAGUGAGAAUGUUGGCAUGAGUAGCGAGAUGUGGGUGAGAAUCCCACAGGCCGUAAACCCCAGGUUUCCAGGGGAAGGUUCGUCCGCCCUGGGUUAGUCGGGACCUAAGCUGAGGCCGAAAGGCGUAGGGGAUGGACAACAGGUUGAUAUUCCUGUACUACCGAUAACCGUUUGAGAGAGGGGAUGACACAGUAGGAUAAGCUAAGCACACUGUUGGUUAUGUGUGCCCAAGCAUUGAGGCAGUCAAAGUAGGCAAAUCCGCUUUGAUAAUGCUGGGAUGUGAUGGGGAGCGAAAUUUAGUAGCGAAGUAGCUGAUUUCACACUGUCAAGAAAAGUCUCUAUCGAGGUUAAAGGUACCCGUACCGCAAACCGACACAGGUGGGUGAGGAGAGUAUCCUAAGGCCAGCGAGAGAACUGUUGUUAAGGAACUCGGCAAAAUGACCCCGUAACUUAGGGAUAAGGGGUGCCACCAUCAGGUGGCCGCAGAGAAUAGGCCCAAGCGACUGUUUACCAAAAACAUAGGUUUCUGCUAAGUCGCAAGACGAUGUAUAGG